UAGGGAAUCUUCGGCAAUGGGGGCAACCCUGACCGAGCAACGCCGCGUGAGUGAAGAAGGUUUUCGGAUCGUAAAGCUCUGUUGUAAGAGAAGAACGCGUGUGAGAGUGGAAAGUUCACACAGUGACGGUAACUUACCAGAAAGGGACGGCUAACUACGUGCCAG
Molecule: ribosomal RNA, 165 nt
Filed under: uncultured bacterium
Lineage: Bacteria
Description: partial 16S rRNA
Rfam family: Bacterial small subunit ribosomal RNA
Source: RNAcentral